AUCCACGUAGUUUAUUCAAAACUCCUCAUUUUCGUUGAGGUGAAGAAUUUUUUAAUUCCUUGGAUU
RNAcentral lists this transfer RNA (66 nucleotides) under Lepas australis. RNAcentral's name for it is "tRNA-Glu". Lineage: Eukaryota; Metazoa; Arthropoda; Thecostraca; Lepadidae. The record is from RNAcentral.